GCCUGGCUGGCUCAGUCAGUAGAGCAUGUGACUGUUGAUCUCAGAGUCAUGAGUUCAAGCCCCAUGUGGGACA
Non-coding RNA from Canis lupus familiaris (dog), 73 nucleotides. NCBI's taxonomy places the organism in Eukaryota, Metazoa, Chordata, Mammalia, Carnivora, Canidae. The record is from Rfam.